RNA transcript from Carya illinoinensis, 2617 nucleotides. RefSeq lists it as uncharacterized. Lineage: Eukaryota; Viridiplantae; Streptophyta; Magnoliopsida; Fagales; Juglandaceae. The transcript has 7 exons. The record is from RefSeq and is a predicted model, not a curated record.
UCCUCCUCCCCAAUGCAUCACUCGACAGUCGACACUCCUCAUUUCUCCAUUUCCAGAGACGUAGAGAGAGAGAGAGAGUGAGAGAUGUCAGGGUGGGACGAGGGGGCAGUGUACUACAUCGACCAGGCUCACUCGUGGCGCGGCAGCGGUGAAGACCACGAUCCGGAGGUGGGGAGCCGACACUCCGUCCUCCAGAAGUUCAAGGAGUUCAUCCGUGGCUUUGAGACCGACGAGAAUGUUUUCCCCUACAGAGAAAGCCUCGUCCACAAUCCCAACAAGUCCCUUCUCGUUGACUUGGAAGACCGCGAUUCCUGCGACCCCGACCUCCCGGAUUUGCUCUGCUCCUCCCCCGCCGACUAGUUGCCUCUUUUUGAGACGGCAGCGUCGGAGGUUUUGGCGAGCUUGCGGUCGAAAGUGGCUGGAGAGACUGGAGAAAUGGAAGAUCCGGUGACCGGGAACGUUCAGGUCUUGCUGACGUCGAAGGAGGAUCCGGUCUCGAUGAGGUUUCUUGGGGCUCGAUCAAUAUAUAUCGAAACUUGUUAAAAUAGCUGGGAUCGCUAUAGCUGCAUCUAGGACUAAUGCAAAGGCGACAUAUGGGACUCUUAUCUGCAAGAACUGUAGAAAUUCAAAGCGAGUUCCUUGUCGGCCAGGCCUGGGUGGUGCAAUUGUCCCUCGCUCUUGUGAUCAUAUCCCUCAGCCGGGAGAAGAGCCAUGCCCACUUGAUCCAUGGCUUGUUGUUCCAGAUAAGAGCAAGUAUAUAUGUCGAUCAACAAACCUUGAAACUGCAGGAGAAUCCAGAGGAUGUUCCAACUGGGGAGCUUCCGAGGCAAUUGGAGUUUUGUACGGAAAAUUAAUGAAAUGAAAUAAUGAUUCAACUCAUUUAAUAGAUACAAACCUGGGUAUAUAAUAGAACAGUAGUUCUAUACACAGUCGCCGGAUGUAAUCGGGAUGCAGUCGGCUGACGUGGCGUUACCGCUUCUUCCAAAAAAAACGAAAAAUGAAAUACGAAAUAUGAAUGAAAACCAAAACCGGUGCAGAUUGAAAGCAUUUCCGAAAAGAGUGAUUUCCCGCUUCUUCCAUUCGCGAGCCCCCCAGAACUGAAAGGAGGAAGACUACCUCGUCGUGGGUGCAGAGAGCUGUUGCCGUUGAGUGGGUUGAUUUCGGGCUGGUCCGGUCUGCGUUGGAGUGGGUCAAAGGCCGAUCGUUGUUGUUGGUUUCAGUUGAGAUUGGGCACCAUGGGUCGUCAUUUUCGUGGGUUUUUCGUGUGGGUCUUCUUCGUCAGCAGCUUCAUUAGGUGUAAGAUCCAGUUUUUUCUUUUCUCAGUCUACAUUUCUUCAACCGUUUCUUCCUGUAUUGGAGUGUCCUUGCGUGAUUGCUACGUUUAUUGCUUUUCAUAUUCGGCUUGAAAUUGCCCCUUGGAAGUUCAAAACCGCUCUGAGAAAAAAGAGGUCGAGGUAAAGCACAUUAUUUUCCUUUGCAACUUGAUCUUUUCUGUCAUUCUUGCUCUUUCAUUUUUCUCCAUCACACGCCUACAUUUUUUGUUUCAGGUAUUGAUGAACCCUUUAGGUGAUUGGUUUUUUUUUUGGGAUUAUUGUUAUACUACAUUAUGGAUUUGUUAGCUCUGUCUUGCUCGAAACAGUUUAAAUUGCUUAAAAUAGAUAAGGUUUUGGUCUCUGAAUUGGGCAAUAUGUAAAAUACAAUGCUUUCUUUCCCUGUUCUAUUGUCUUUGUUUUCUCUUUUCGGUACCCUCACAGGUUUUGUUGCCAUCGUUUUUUGCACAUUUCCUUCAAAAUUAAAAGGAAUUUUGUUUCUUGAUUAGAGGAAGGUGUUAGGGACCCUUCUCUAUAUACCCUGCUUGUCUUCACAAGCUUGUAGGUCACAAAUUAAUUGACUACAAAUACUGAGGUUAUAAUUGAGUAAGGGUAAGCUUCUUUUUAUCAUUUUGGUCAUUGAUUUAUGAUUGCAAAAAAAUAAAAGAUCAAUUAAGAUGAUGGAUACAUUGUUAUUGACUAAUAUUAUGUGCUCUAAGAACAGAAGGAUCUAAUGCCUCAUAUUUUCAACCUCAAAAUCUACUUGUUUUAUUGUCAACUCUUACUUCUCCCAUUAAAGCAUUGAAGCUUUUAAUAGUAGUGGAACCCUCCAAUCGCAUCCCAUGAUUGGUAGUCAAGACAGUGUAAGAUUUUUAAACUUUACAAAUAACGUUGGUUAUACAUCAAAAGGUUAUGAUUUAUAUUUUCCAUUUUUCAAUUAUCAGAUAAAUUUUGACUGGAUGGCGCACAACCGGAGCUCUUUGGGUGGAGAUGGGUCACAAUAGUGGCAAAAUCAUGGUUAUUGAUUAUUGCACCAUUUUUAAAGGCUUUUUGUGAAGUAAUAUUUUGACGAUUUUGAUGAAAAACGCAUUGUAAUUAUUGGUUCAUUGAAGAGAUUUUAUAUGUGUCAAUCAUGUAAUUAUGUAUUUAUGGGUGAAGGAGGAGGUAUAUUUCUUUAAUUUUGUAAAAUUGGUGGUAUUUUGUGUAUAAUGUGUAAUUAUGAAAGUGGAGUGAAGGACUCGAUUAUAGCAAAAUUCCUUGGACAGAAAAUCAAUUUACUUGUUAUUGAGGAUAAACAGGUUAUGGCA